This 494-nucleotide ribosomal RNA is filed under the name uncultured bacterium. Its description in RNAcentral is "partial 16S ribosomal RNA". It matches the Rfam family "Bacterial small subunit ribosomal RNA", at positions 31 to 507 of the family's 1533-position model. The record is from RNAcentral.
GAACGCUGGCGGCGUGCCUAAUACAUGCAAGUCGAGCGAACAGACGAGGAGCUUGCUCCUUUGACGUUAGCGGCGGACGGGUGAGUAACACGUGGAUAACCUACCUAUAAGACUGGGAUAACUUCGGGAAACCGGAGCUAAUACCGGAUAACAUGUUGAACCGCAUGGUUCAACAGUGAAAGACGGUCUUGCUGUCACUUAUAGAUGGAUCCGCGCCGCAUUAGCUAGUUGGUAAGGUAACGGCUUACCAAGGCAACGAUGCGUAGCCGACCUGAGAGGGUGAUCGGCCACACUGGAACUGAGACACGGUCCAGACUCCUACGGGAGGCAGCAGUAGGGAAUCUUCCGCAAUGGGCGAAAGCCUGACGGAGCAACGCCGCGUGAGUGAAGAAGGUCUUCGGAUCGUAAAACUCUGUUAUUAGGGAAGAACAAAUGUGUAAGUAACUAUGCACGUCUUGACGGUACCUAAUCAGAAAGCCACGGCUAACUACGUG